GAUGAACGCUAGCGGCAGGCUUAACACAUGCAAGUCGAGGGGUAUUGGUUUUCGGACCAAGAGACCGGCGCACGGGUGCGUAACGCGUAUGCAAUCUACCUUUUGCAGAGGGAUAGCCCAGAGAAAUUUGGAUUAAUGCCCCAUAGUAUAGCAGUUUCGCAUGAAACUACUAUUAAAGUACCAACGGUAAAAGAUGAGCAUGCGUCCCAUUAGCUAGAUGGUAAGGUAACGGCUUACCAUGGCGACGAUGGGUAGGGGUCCUGAGAGGGAGAUCCCCCACACUGGUACUGAGACACGGACCAGACUCCUACGGGAGGCAGCAGUGAGGAAUAUUGGUCAAUGGGCGCAAGCCUGAACCAGCCAUGCCGCGUGCAGGAAGACGGUCCUAUGGAUUGUAAACUGCUUUUAUACAAAGAAGAAACACUCCCUCGUGAGGGAACUUGACGGUACUGUAUGAAUAAGGACCGGACUAACUCCGUGCCAGCGAGCCGCGGUAAAGU
Molecule: ribosomal RNA, 500 nt
Filed under: uncultured bacterium
Lineage: Bacteria
Description: bacterial SSU rRNA
Rfam family: Bacterial small subunit ribosomal RNA
Source: RNAcentral